This 371-nucleotide ribosomal RNA is filed under the name uncultured organism. RNAcentral's name for it is "partial 16S ribosomal RNA". It matches the Rfam family "Bacterial small subunit ribosomal RNA", at positions 527 to 896 of the family's 1533-position model. The record is from RNAcentral.
GUAGGUGGCAAGCGUUGUCCGGAAUUAUUGGGCGUAAAGCGCGCGCAGGCGGUUCUUUAAGUCUGAUGUGAAAGCCCACGGCUCAACCGUGGAGGGUCAUUGGAAACUGGAGAACUUGAGUACAGAAGAGGAAAGCGGAAUUCCACGUGUAGCGGUGAAAUGCGUAGAGAUGUGGAGGAACACCAGUGGCGAAGGCGGCUUUCUGGUCUGUAACUGACGCUGAGGCGCGAAAGCGUGGGGGAGCAAACAGGAUUAGGUACCCUGGUAGUCCACGCCGUAAACGAUGAGUGCUAAGUGUUAGGGGGUUUCCGCCCCCUUAGUGCUGCAGCUAACGCAUUAAGCACUCCGCCUGGGAUACGGCCGCAAGGCUG